AUGGACAAGCACAUUGAGAUGUCUUACUGCCGCUUUGAGAGCUUCAAGAUACUCGCCAAGAACUACCUGGAUGUGGUGGAGCACGAGCUGUUUGGGGAGAUUCAGCAGCUGCUUGAGGAGACCGACAUGUCGCCCGCUGACGUGGCAGAGAACCUGAUGCCCUUGUCCAAGAAGAAAAAGAGGGACCCUGAUGUGUGCUUGGCAGGCCUCAUCGAGGUGCUCAAGCAGGCCAAAGAAGACGCGACGGUCGCCAAGGCGAAGGAGGAAGAGGUGGCCAAGGAGGCUGAAGCGAAGAAAGCCAAGGAGAAAGAGGAGGCUGAAGUGAAGAAAGCCAAGGAGAAAGAGGAAGGGAAGGACAAAACAUCAGAGGAAGCCAUUGGAGACAACAUGCAAGCUGACAAGAUACAGGAGUAG
This 414-nucleotide ribosomal RNA is filed under the name Triticum aestivum (bread wheat). RNAcentral describes it as "partial small subunit ribosomal RNA". The record is from RNAcentral. Lineage: Eukaryota; Viridiplantae; Streptophyta; Magnoliopsida; Poales; Poaceae.